AUGCUUAAAGAGGGGCUUGCGCCACAUUAGUUAGUUGGUAAGGUAAAGGCUUACCAAGACGAUGAUGUGUAGCUGGACUGAGAGGUCGAACAGCCACAUUGGGACUGAGACACGGCCCAAACUCCUACGGGNGGCAGCAGUAAGGAAUUUUUGGCAAUGGAGGAAACUCUGACCGAGCGACGCCGCGUGAACAAUGAAGUACUUCGGUAUGUAAAGUUCUUUUAUUGAAAAAGAAAAAAUAGUGGAAAAACUAUCUUGACAUUAUUCAAUGAAUAAGCCCCGGCUAAUUAUGUGCCAGCAGCCGCGGUAAUACAUAAGGGGCGAGCGUUAUCCGGAAUUAUUGGGCGUAAAGGGUGCGUAGGCGGUUUGAUAAGUCUAUAGNUUAANUGCAGUGCUUAACGCUGUANCGCUAUAGAAACUGUCUGACUAGAGUUAGAUAGAGGCAAGCGGAAUUCCNUGUGUAGCGGUAAAAUGCGUAAAUAUAUGGAGGAACACCAGAGGCGUAGGCGGCUUGCUGGGUCUUAACUGACGCUGAGGCACGAAAGCGUGGGGAGCAAACAGGAUUAGAUACCCUGGUAGUCCACGCCGUAAACGAUGAGUACUAAGUGUCGGGUUUUGGCUCGGUACUGAAGUUAACACAUUAAGUACUCNGCCUGANUAGUACGUACGCNAGUAUGAAACUUAAAGGAAUUGACGGGACCCCGCA
Molecule: ribosomal RNA, 706 nt
Rfam family: Bacterial small subunit ribosomal RNA